GAUGAACGCUGGCGGCGUGCUUAACACAUGCCAGUCGAGCGAGAAGUUUUGAAAAGAUUCUUCGGAUGAAAUUUAAAAUGGAAAGCGGCGGACGGGUGAGUAACGCGUAGGCAACCUGCCCCAUACAAAGGGAUAGCAUUUGGAAACGAAUAUUAAUACCUUAUGAAACUUAACUAGUGCAUGCUAGGUAGGUCAAAGAUUUAUCGGUAUGGGAUGGGCCUGCGUCUGAUUAGCUAGUUGGUGAGGUAACGGCUCACAAAGGCGACGAUCAGUAGCCGACCUGAGAGGGUGAACGGCCACAUUGGAACUGAGACACGGUCCAAACUCCUACGGGAGGCAGCAGUGGGGAAUAUUGCACAAUGGGGGAAACCCUGAUGCAGCAACGCCGCGUGAACGAUGAAGGCCUUUGGGUCGUAAAGUUCUGUUCUAGGUGAUGAAAACUGACAGUAACCUAGGAGAAAGCCCCGGCUAACUCCGUG
Molecule: ribosomal RNA, 479 nt
Filed under: uncultured bacterium
Lineage: Bacteria
Description: partial 16S ribosomal RNA
Rfam family: Bacterial small subunit ribosomal RNA
Source: RNAcentral